This 253-nucleotide ribosomal RNA is filed under the name uncultured bacterium. RNAcentral describes it as "partial 16S ribosomal RNA". It matches the Rfam family "Bacterial small subunit ribosomal RNA", at positions 524 to 776 of the family's 1533-position model. The record is from RNAcentral.
GACGUAGGGGACGAGCGUUGUCCGGAUUUAUUGGGCGUAAAGCGCGCGUAGGCGGCUUGGAAAGUCGGAUGUGAAAAUCCGGGGCUCAACCCCGGACCUGCAUCCGAUACUUCCAGGCUAGAGGUAGGUAGGGGAGAUCGGAAUUCCUGGUGUAGCGGUGAAAUGCGCAGAUAUCAGGAGGAACACCGGUGGCGAAGGCGGAUCUCUGGGCAACAACUGACGCUGAGGAGCGAAAGCGUGGGGAGCGAACAGG